CUGUACAUAUAUGUAUGUGUGCAUAUAUAUGUGUGUAUAUCUAGCUCCACAUUCCCUCAGUAUACACGCGAUACAUGUGACAUAUACAAAUUAAUCAAACAU
Molecule: microRNA precursor, 102 nt
Filed under: Ovis aries (sheep)
Lineage: Eukaryota; Metazoa; Chordata; Mammalia; Artiodactyla; Bovidae
Description: miRNA (ENSOARG00000024715.1)
Source: RNAcentral